This 2903-nucleotide ribosomal RNA is filed under the name Escherichia coli B107. RNAcentral's name for it is "bacterial LSU rRNA". It matches the Rfam family "Bacterial large subunit ribosomal RNA". Lineage: Bacteria; Pseudomonadati; Pseudomonadota; Gammaproteobacteria; Enterobacterales; Enterobacteriaceae. The record is from RNAcentral.
UUAAGCGACUAAGCGUACACGGUGGAUGCCCUGGCAGUCAGAGGCGAUGUAGGACGUGCUAAUCUGCGAUAAGCGUCGGUAAGGUGAUAUGAACCGUUAUAACCGGCGAUUUCCGAAUGGGGAAACCCAGUGUGAUUCGUCACACUAUCAUUAACUGAAUCCAUAGGUUAAUGAGGCGAACCGGGGGAACUGAAACAUCUAAGUACCCCGAGGAAAAGAAAUCAACCGAGAUUCCCCCAGUAGCGGCGAGCGAACGGGGAGGAGCCCAGAGCCUGAAUCAGUGUGUGUGUUAGUGGAAGCGUCUGGAAAGGCGCGCGAUACAGGGUGACAGCCCCGUACACAAAAAUGCACAUGCUGUGAGCUCGAUGAGUAGGGCGGGACACGUGGUAUCCUGUCUGAAUAUGGGGGGACCAUCCUCCAAGGCUAAAUACUCCUGACUGACCGAUAGUGAACCAGUACCGUGAGGGAAAGGCGAAAAGAACCCCGGCGAGGGGAGUGAAAAAGAACCUGAAACCGUGUACGUACAAGCAGUGGGAGCACAGAGCAAUCUGUGUGACUGCGUACCUUUUGUAUAAUGGGUCAGCGACUUAUAUUCUGUAGCAAGGUUAACCGAAUAGGGGAGCCGAAGGGAAACCGAGUCUUAACUGGGCGUUAAGUUGCAGGGUAUAGACCCGAAACCCGGUGAUCUAGCCAUGGGCAGGUUGAAGGUUGGGUAACACUAACUGGAGGACCGAACCGACUAAUGUUGAAAAAUUAGCGGAUGACUUGUGGCUGGGGGUGAAAGGCCAAUCAAACCGGGAGAUAGCUGGUUCUCCCCGAAAGCUAUUUAGGUAGCGCCUCGUGAAUUCAUCUCCGGGGGUAGAGCACUGUUUCGGCAAGGGGGUCAUCCCGACUUACCAACCCGAUGCAAACUGCGAAUACCGGAGAAUGUUAUCACGGGAGACACACGGCGGGUGCUAACGUCCGUCGUGAAGAGGGAAACAACCCAGACCGCCAGCUAAGGUCCCAAAGUCAUGGUUAAGUGGGAAACGAUGUGGGAAGGCCCAGACAGCCAGGAUGUUGGCUUAGAAGCAGCCAUCAUUUAAAGAAAGCGUAAUAGCUCACUGGUCGAGUCGGCCUGCGCGGAAGAUGUAACGGGGCUAAACCAUGCACCGAAGCUGCGGCAGCGACACUGUGUGUUGUUGGGUAGGGGAGCGUUCUGUAAGCCUGUGAAGGUGUGCUGUGAGGCAUGCUGGAGGUAUCAGAAGUGCGAAUGCUGACAUAAGUAACGAUAAAGCGGGUGAAAAGCCCGCUCGCCGGAAGACCAAGGGUUCCUGUCCAACGUUAAUCGGGGCAGGGUGAGUCGACCCCUAAGGCGAGGCCGAAAGGCGUAGUCGAUGGGAAACAGGUUAAUAUUCCUGUACUUGGUGUUACUGCGAAGGGGGGACGGAGAAGGCUAUGUUGGCCGGGCGACGGUUGUCCCGGUUUAAGCGUGUAGGCUGGUUUUCCAGGCAAAUCCGGAAAAUCAAGGCUGAGGCGUGAUGACGAGGCACUACGGUGCUGAAGCAACAAAUGCCCUGCUUCCAGGAAAAGCCUCUAAGCAUCAGGUAACAUCAAAUCGUACCCCAAACCGACACAGGUGGUCAGGUAGAGAAUACCAAGGCGCUUGAGAGAACUCGGGUGAAGGAACUAGGCAAAAUGGUGCCGUAACUUCGGGAGAAGGCACGCUGAUAUGUAGGUGAAGUCCCUCGCGGAUGGAGCUGAAAUCAGUCGAAGAUACCAGCUGGCUGCAACUGUUUAUUAAAAACACAGCACUGUGCAAACACGAAAGUGGACGUAUACGGUGUGACGCCUGCCCGGUGCCGGAAGGUUAAUUGAUGGGGUCAGCGCAAGCGAAGCUCUUGAUCGAAGCCCCGGUAAACGGCGGCCGUAACUAUAACGGUCCUAAGGUAGCGAAAUUCCUUGUCGGGUAAGUUCCGACCUGCACGAAUGGCGUAAUGAUGGCCAGGCUGUCUCCACCCGAGACUCGGUGAAAUUGAACUCGCUGUGAAGAUGCAGUGUACCCGCGGCAAGACGGAAAGACCCCGUGAACCUUUACUAUAGCUUGACACUGAACAUUGAGCCUUGAUGUGUAGGAUAGGUGGGAGGCUUUGAAGUGUGGACGCCAGUCUGCAUGGAGCCGACCUUGAAAUACCACCCUUUAAUGUUUGAUGUUCUAACGUGGACCCGUGAUCCGGGUUGCGGACAGUGUCUGGUGGGUAGUUUGACUGGGGCGGUCUCCUCCUAAAGAGUAACGGAGGAGCACGAAGGUUGGCUAAUCCUGGUCGGACAUCAGGAGGUUAGUGCAAUGGCAUAAGCCAGCUUGACUGCGAGCGUGACGGCGCGAGCAGGUGCGAAAGCAGGUCAUAGUGAUCCGGUGGUUCUGAAUGGAAGGGCCAUCGCUCAACGGAUAAAAGGUACUCCGGGGAUAACAGGCUGAUACCGCCCAAGAGUUCAUAUCGACGGCGGUGUUUGGCACCUCGAUGUCGGCUCAUCACAUCCUGGGGCUGAAGUAGGUCCCAAGGGUAUGGCUGUUCGCCAUUUAAAGUGGUACGCGAGCUGGGUUUAGAACGUCGUGAGACAGUUCGGUCCCUAUCUGCCGUGGGCGCUGGAGAACUGAGGGGGGCUGCUCCUAGUACGAGAGGACCGGAGUGGACGCAUCACUGGUGUUCGGGUUGUCAUGCCAAUGGCACUGCCCGGUAGCUAAAUGCGGAAGAGAUAAGUGCUGAAAGCAUCUAAGCACGAAACUUGCCCCGAGAUGAGUUCUCCCUGACCCUUUAAGGGUCCUGAAGGGACGUUGAAGACGACGACGUUGAUAGGCCGGGUGUGUAAGCGCAGCGAUGCGUUGAGCUAACCGGUACUAAUGAACCGUGAGGCUUAACCUU